GGCCUAUUAGCUCAGUUGGUUAGAGCGUCGUGCUAAUAACGCGAAGAUCAGGUUCGAGACUGUAUGGGCCA
This 71-nucleotide transfer RNA is filed under the name Ipomoea nil (Japanese morning glory). It matches the Rfam family "tRNA". From Rfam's summary of the family: Transfer RNA (tRNA) molecules are approximately 80 nucleotides in length. Their secondary structure includes four short double-helical elements and three loops (D, anti-codon, and T loops). Lineage: Eukaryota; Viridiplantae; Streptophyta; Magnoliopsida; Solanales; Convolvulaceae. The record is from Rfam by way of RNAcentral.